CCGCCCCGCACGCCGUGCCGGCGGUGCCGUGCGCUCGCUCUCCGCCGCCCUGCCCCGCCUCGGUGCGCCCCGCUACCGCCUCGGUCUGCCCUGUUUGCUUCAGUCGGGGCUUCCCCCCGCAGCACCCCCUCACAGCGUCCCCUCUCCGUUUGCCCUCAGAUGUCUCAGGUGCCUGCUCCCGGUGCCCCCUCAUAAUCUCCCUUCAGUCCCCUCAGAGUGCAUUUCUCUCCCUCCCACCCACAAAGUCCUCGCCUGGUCUUUCCUGUUUGCUCCCCCUCAGGACCCAGAGCUGUCCCCUCACAGUGUUCCGACUCCCCUCAGAUGUCUGUUCCACCCUCACAGCGUCCCCCGCAGUCUCCCCUCAGUCCCACCAGAGAUGUCUCAGUGCUCCGCUCACGGCGACCCCUCCAUGCCUCCCCACAGUCCCCGUUUCUCCUCAGUCCCCUCGUAGGGACCCCCACAAUCUCCCCUCGCAGUCCCACCAUGGAUGGCUCAUUGGCCCUUCAGAGUCUCCCUUCAGUCCCUCAGAUCCCUCACUUCAGUCGUUUGCCAGUCUCCCCCCACAUCCCCUCUCUGACUCCCCUCGGAUGUCGCAGUGCCCCCGCACAGUGUCCCCUCCAUGUCUGCCCAUGAUCCCCCCUUCCCCUCUCAGUCCUUUCAGAGUCACCCACACAAUCUCCCCUUUCAGUCCCACCACGGAUGGCUCAAUGCCUCCUCAUAGUCUUUCCUCCCCACAUACUCCUAAGAGCCCUCACCCCUGUCUCUCCUCUCAAUCCCACCAUGGAUGUCCCCUCUCAUCUCUCCCUGAAUCGUCCUCAAUUUUCCCUCUCAGACACCUAUCAGUCUCUCACAGUUGUAUUUCCAGUUUGCCUUCUCAGUCUCACCAUAGAUGUCCCCUCUCAAUGCCCCCUUCACAGCCAUCCCCCUCACAGUCUCCCUUCUCAGUUUCCCCUCAGUCACCUCUCAACUUCCCUUCUCAGUCCACAGACAGGAUCUCUCUCAAUGUCCCCCUCAGCAUGUCCCCUCUCAGUUACCCCCUGCAGUUCCCCCUCUCAAUUCUACUGUGGACAUUCCCUCUCAAUGCGC
RNAcentral lists this long non-coding RNA (1086 nucleotides) under Lonchura striata (white-rumped munia). RNAcentral describes it as "domestica (Bengalese finch) lncRNA (ENSLSDG00000000408.1)". The record is from RNAcentral. Lineage: Eukaryota; Metazoa; Chordata; Aves; Passeriformes; Estrildidae.